UACGUAGGGGGCGAGCGUUGUCCGGAGUUACUGGGCGUAAAGCGCACGCAGGCGGUCUGCUAAGUUUGGAGUGACAGUUGGUGGCUUAACUGCCAAAGUGCUUCGAAAACUGACAGACUUGAGGGCUUCAGAGGGACACGGAAUUCCGGGUGGAGUGGUGAAAUGCGUAGAUAUUCGGAAGAACACCAGUGGCGAAGGCGACUGACUGGACAAGUAUUGACGCUGAGGUGCGAAAGCGUGGGGAGCAAACAGG
RNAcentral lists this ribosomal RNA (253 nucleotides) under uncultured bacterium. RNAcentral describes it as "partial 16S ribosomal RNA". It matches the Rfam family "Bacterial small subunit ribosomal RNA", at positions 524 to 776 of the family's 1533-position model. The record is from RNAcentral.